AUGGUAAUUGAAGCCAUGAAUGCACGUAUUGCUGAUCAUGUAAAGAAGGUAGGCAGGAAGUUAAUGGAAAUUGACCACAGAUUUGAUGUCAAAUACCAGACGCUAGGUGAAGAGUUGAUCGACAUGAAGACUAAAACUGGCACUAAUCCUAGGUUGUCGAAGGCCGAGGAAGACAUUAAAGACUUAAGGAGGGAACUCCAUGUAUGUCAUACUGUGCAUUUUGUAUUUUGUAUGAAUAUGUUCCUUCAUGAUCAAGUCAAUGUGUGCAAUUCAUCCCUGACAAGAACUCCUAGGGCUAGCCAAUUCACGGCAGGGACUUCGAGUACACCAAGUGCAAGACAUGUGACGGAAAACAAUGAGGAACCACAAUUAACUCCGAUGAAGCCUGUCUUUGGUAAUGAUUACAAGUUCACGGAUGAGGACAUAGAGACAGCCGUUUACAUCCACGAAACAUACGACCCUGUUGAAAUAGUUAGAAUCGGAGACAUUAGCCUCACAGCAGAAAAUCUGAUGGGAAAUUUGGACGACAAAUACAUUUAUGGUGAUGUUAUUAUGGCAUAUGCUCGCAUUAGCCAAAUUGAGAAUGAUACUACCUCAAUCAUAUCCCCUCAAGAAACUGAAAAGCUGUUACAAAUGAAGGGGGUGGUUCCUGUUGGACGUGUAGCCUCAUGGUUAGCUCGUGUAGCAGAAAAAUUUGUAGGGCGCCGAAAGGUGCAUGUCUCACUGAAUGUACACCAAAACCAUUGGAUGGCAAUAAUGUUUAAUUUUGACAAAAAAGAAAUUCAGACUCUGAACUCCAUGAAUUAUCAUUGCGACAAGACCAAGGAAGAUUCUCUUUGCUGCAUCGACGAAGCUGUCAAGAAUGGGUUGAUAUCACCAGCUAAGAACAUCAAUUUUGCCGAAUGGACCAAAAAACGCUAUGAGAACAUACCACAACAGACCGAUGGGACUUCCUGUGCGGUUUGGACACUUCAGUACAUGUUGUCAUGGAACGGGGAUGAAAUGACCGAUAUUUUUAACUAG
This 1023-nucleotide ribosomal RNA is filed under the name Triticum aestivum (bread wheat). Its description in RNAcentral is "partial small subunit ribosomal RNA". The record is from RNAcentral. Lineage: Eukaryota; Viridiplantae; Streptophyta; Magnoliopsida; Poales; Poaceae.